GGGUUGUGAGGUUAAGCGACUAAGCGUACACGGUGGAUGCCCUGGCAGUCAGAGGCGAUGAAGGACGUGCUAAUCUGCGAUAAGCGUCGGUAAGGUGAUAUGAACCGUUAUAACCGGCGAUUUCCGAAUGGGGAAACCCAGUGUGAUUCGUCACACUAUCAUUAACUGAAUCCAUAGGUUAAUGAGGCGAACCGGGGGAACUGAAACAUCUAAGUACCCCGAGGAAAAGAAAUCAACCGAGAUUCCCCCAGUAGCGGCGAGCGAACGGGGAGCAGCCCAGAGCCUGAAUCAGUGUGUGUGUUAGUGGAAGCGUCUGGAAAGGCGCGCGAUACAGGGUGACAGCCCCGUACACAAAAAUGCACAUGCUGUGAGCUCGAUGAGUAGGGCGGGACACGUGGUAUCCUGUCUGAAUAUGGGGGGACCAUCCUCCAAGGCUAAAUACUCCUGACUGACCGAUAGUGAACCAGUACCGUGAGGGAAAGGCGAAAAGAACCCCGGCGAGGGGAGUGAAAAAGAACCUGAAACCGUGUACGUACAAGCAGUGGGAGCACGCUUAGGCGUGUGACUGCGUACCUUUUGUAUAAUGGGUCAGCGACUUAUAUUCUGUAGCAAGGUUAACCGAAUAGGGGAGCCGAAGGGAAACCGAGUCUUAACUGGGCGUUAAGUUGCAGGGUAUAGACCCGAAACCCGGUGAUCUAGCCAUGGGCAGGUUGAAGGUUGGGUAACACUAACUGGAGGACCGAACCGACUAAUGUUGAAAAAUUAGCGGAUGACUUGUGGCUGGGGGUGAAAGGCCAAUCAAACCGGGAGAUAGCUGGUUCUCCCCGAAAGCUAUUUAGGUAGCGCCUCGUGAAUUCAUCUCCGGGGGUAGAGCACUGUUUCGGCAAGGGGGUCAUCCCGACUUACCAACCCGAUGCAAACUGCGAAUACCGGAGAAUGUUAUCACGGGAGACACACGGCGGGUGCUAACGUCCGUCGUGAAGAGGGAAACAACCCAGACCGCCAGCUAAGGUCCCAAAGUCAUGGUUAAGUGGGAAACGAUGUGGGAAGGCCCAGACAGCCAGGAUGUUGGCUUAGAAGCAGCCAUCAUUUAAAGAAAGCGUAAUAGCUCACUGGUCGAGUCGGCCUGCGCGGAAGAUGUAACGGGGCUAAACCAUGCACCGAAGCUGCGGCAGCGACGCUGAUGCGUUGUUGGGUAGGGGAGCGUUCUGUAAGCCUGCGAAGGUGUGCUGUGAGGCAUGCUGGAGGUAUCAGAAGUGCGAAUGCUGACAUAAGUAACGAUAAAGCGGGUGAAAAGCCCGCUCGCCGGAAGACCAAGGGUUCCUGUCCAACGUUAAUCGGGGCAGGGUGAGUCGACCCCUAAGGCGAGGCCGAAAGGCGUAGUCGAUGGGAAACAGGUUAAUAUUCCUGUACUUGGUGUUACUGCGAAGGGGGGACGGAGAAGGCUAUGUUGGCCGGGCGACGGUUGUCCCGGUUUAAGCGUGUAGGCUGGUUUUCCAGGCAAAUCCGGAAAAUCAAGGCUGAGGCGUGAUGACGAGGCACUACGGUGCUGAAGCAACAAAUGCCCUGCUUCCAGGAAAAGCCUCUAAGCAUCAGGUAACAUCAAAUCGUACCCCAAACCGACACAGGUGGUCAGGUAGAGAAUACCAAGGCGCUUGAGAGAACUCGGGUGAAGGAACUAGGCAAAAUGGUGCCGUAACUUCGGGAGAAGGCACGCUGAUAUGUAGGUGAAGCGACUUGCUCGUGGAGCUGAAAUCAGUCGAAGAUACCAGCUGGCUGCAACUGUUUAUUAAAAACACAGCACUGUGCAAACACGAAAGUGGACGUAUACGGUGUGACGCCUGCCCGGUGCCGGAAGGUUAAUUGAUGGGGUCAGCGCAAGCGAAGCUCUUGAUCGAAGCCCCGGUAAACGGCGGCCGUAACUAUAACGGUCCUAAGGUAGCGAAAUUCCUUGUCGGGUAAGUUCCGACCUGCACGAAUGGCGUAAUGAUGGCCAGGCUGUCUCCACCCGAGACUCAGUGAAAUUGAACUCGCUGUGAAGAUGCAGUGUACCCGCGGCAAGACGGAAAGACCCCGUGAACCUUUACUAUAGCUUGACACUGAACAUUGAGCCUUGAUGUGUAGGAUAGGUGGGAGGCUUUGAAGUGUGGACGCCAGUCUGCAUGGAGCCGACCUUGAAAUACCACCCUUUAAUGUUUGAUGUUCUAACGUUGACCCGUGAUCCGGGUUGCGGACAGUGUCUGGUGGGUAGUUUGACUGGGGCGGUCUCCUCCUAAAGAGUAACGGAGGAGCACGAAGGUUGGCUAAUCCUGGUCGGACAUCAGGAGGUUAGUGCAAUGGCAUAAGCCAGCUUGACUGCGAGCGUGACGGCGCGAGCAGGUGCGAAAGCAGGUCAUAGUGAUCCGGUGGUUCUGAAUGGAAGGGCCAUCGCUCAACGGAUAAAAGGUACUCCGGGGAUAACAGGCUGAUACCGCCCAAGAGUUCAUAUCGACGGCGGUGUUUGGCACCUCGAUGUCGGCUCAUCACAUCCUGGGGCUGAAGUAGGUCCCAAGGGUAUGGCUGUUCGCCAUUUAAAGUGGUACGCGAGCUGGGUUUAGAACGUCGUGAGACAGUUCGGUCCCUAUCUGCCGUGGGCGCUGGAGAACUGAGGGGGGCUGCUCCUAGUACGAGAGGACCGGAGUGGACGCAUCACUGGUGUUCGGGUUGUCAUGCCAAUGGCACUGCCCGGUAGCUAAAUGCGGAAGAGAUAAGUGCUGAAAGCAUCUAAGCACGAAACUUGCCCCGAGAUGAGUUCUCCCUGACUCCUUGAGAGUCCUGAAGGAACGUUGAAGACGACGACGUUGAUAGGCCGGGUGUGUAAGCGCAGCGAUGCGUUGAGCUAACCGGUACUAAUGAACCGUGAGGCUUAACCUUACAACGCCGAAGCUGUU
RNAcentral lists this ribosomal RNA (2930 nucleotides) under Escherichia coli. RNAcentral's name for it is "bacterial LSU rRNA". It matches the Rfam family "Bacterial large subunit ribosomal RNA". Lineage: Bacteria; Pseudomonadati; Pseudomonadota; Gammaproteobacteria; Enterobacterales; Enterobacteriaceae. The record is from RNAcentral.